This 6531-nucleotide long non-coding RNA is filed under the name Zostera marina. RNAcentral describes it as "long non-coding RNA (ZMAR_LNC001643)". Lineage: Eukaryota; Viridiplantae; Streptophyta; Magnoliopsida; Alismatales; Zosteraceae. The record is from RNAcentral.
CAAAUCCUCUGAGCAUUAAUGUCGUUGAGACAGAAAAAGUUCAGAAGCAAGGGAAGGUGAAACUCAGUACCAUUCCAUGUCAGAUUUGCUCUGGAAAACAUGGUGCACUGAACUGCUACAAUAGGCUGAAUAUCACAAAGUAUCCACCAACACACAAUAGAGUACUAUCACCUAACGGGCCUACUGGCAAAAUGUCCGUUAACACUGCAUAUAAAGCUUCUGGAUCUAUUUGGUAUCCUGAAACAGGUACUGUUGAUGAGCCUACUGUGAAUAUGGUACAAUGCAGGAAGAAACACAUCUUUGGUAUGCAGAUUCAGGAGCUACGAAUCAUGUUACAAGAGCUCAGCAAAAUAUCCAGCAAUCUGUGGAAUGUGAUAAGGCCAUCAAUACAGCAGAUGGAAGGCCUAUGAAGAUCACUCACUAUGGUAAUUCUAGUUUUUCAGUAAAUAAUAGAAUGAUUAAAUUAGAACAGCUUCUUUAUGUUCCAUCAGCAUCCAAGAACUUAAUCUCUGUCAAGAAGUUCUGUAUUGAUAACAGGGUUUCUAUGGAAUUUGAUCCACAGAAGGUGACAGUGAAGGAUCUGGUCACAAAAGAAGUACUAAUGUCUGGACCUGAAGGAGAUGGGUUGUACGAGAUCCCCAUAAAUAUAAGAAGCACUGAACUGCAGGUGAAUCAGGUGGAGAUGGGCAAAAAGGCAAAUGCAAGGACCUGGCAUCUGAGGCUAGGACAUUUACACUCAAGAGCAGUGGAAGACUUAAAUAAAAUUAAGAGGAUUAUUGUUACCGAUUCUAAAAAUAUUCAUGUACCAUGUCAAAAUUGUUGUGUAACGAAAUCUAAGAAAUUAAGUCAUUCUAAGAGAUCCACUGUUUACAAUAAUCCACUUGAGCUUGUGUUUGCGGAUGUUUGGGGUCCUGCACCUAGGGAUUCUUCAGAGGGUUAUAAAUACUACAUAAAUUUUGUAGAUGCAUCCACUAGUUUUAAUUGGUUAUUUUUGAUGAAAAGGAAGUCUGAGGUAGAGGACUGUUUUGUGCAAUUUCAGAAAUUAGUGGAAAGACAGUUUGAACUUAAAAUCAAGGCAGUUCAAAGUGAUAAUGCCCAUGGUUCCGGAUGCGCCUCUGCGCGAUGCGCCGCCACCUGGAGCAUCUGAGCAUAUGCGUGCAUAUGCGUGCAUAUGCGCUCAGAUGCGCCAGUGGCAUUUUCGUAAAUAUUUAUAAAAUUAUAGGAAAUUAAUAUUUUUUUAUAUAUGUAUAUCAAUUAUCAAAAUACUUUAAGUCUUUAAAUAGUUUGAAACACAUAGAAUAGUUCCCUUUAACCUUCCGUCUUUAAAAAUCAAUUAUCAAAAUUCCGUCUUUAAAAAUCACUGUUUUUUAUUUUUUUACCCUUUUUUGACUUUUUUUGACUUUUUUUUUUCCCUCCAAAUUUCUUCGCCGGAAUCUGGCCGGAGCUUCGCCUGAGGAACGCCUGAGGAACCCCCAAAAAAUCGGGAGGAGAUCUGGCCGGAGUUGGGAGGAAUGGGGAAGAGAAGGUUAAACCCUAGAGAGGGGUUUGCGUUUCCAAUCUUAUAAAAUCUAAAAACAGUAAAUGCAAAUACUGUUUUAACUUAUGACAUUUAAUAACUUAAAAUAGACCGGAUCCGGGUCGGAUCCGACCCGGAUCCGGUCUGUUUUAAGUUAUUAAAUGUAAUUGGGAAAAUUGCAGUUUUUCCCAAUUACUUUUUAUAACUAAAAUUAUUUUAAAAUUAUUUCCCAAUUACUUUUUAAAAUACACUAAAAUUAUUUUAAAAAGCCGGAUCCAGGUAGGAUCCGACCCGGAUCCGACUAAGGGAGAUGCGCCGGGCGCAUCUCCCUUCCGGGUCGCAUCAUCGCAUGCGCGCAUAUGCGCGCGCACCCGGAUCCAUGAUAAUGCCAAGGAAUUUCUCAAGCUUUCCACUUAUCUUAGAAAGAAUGGUAUAAUUCACCACCUUAGUUGUCCACACACUCAUCCUCAAAUGGGUAAGGUGGAAAGAAGGCAUCGACACAUAGUCGAUACAGGGCUGGCCAUGCUCAAUCAUGCAAAGAUUGAAGAUCAUUUUUGGGAUUAUGCAUUUAUGACUGCUGUUUACAUCUAUAACAGAAACCCUACAAGUGUCUUGGGAGGAAUCUCUCCAUAUGAAGCACUCAAUCAUAGGACACCGGAAUAUUUUAAAAUGAGAGUUUUUGGUUCUAUUUGUUACCCUAACAUGAGGCCAUAUAGGGAGGAUAAAUUGGGUAACAAAUCUCAUCAGUGUGUGUUCAUGGGAUAUCCUGGAAAUUGUGAUGGAUACAUAUGCAUGAACAUGGAAGAUGGAAGGACAACACUAUCAAGAGAUGUAGUGUUUCAUGAAAAUGAUUUUCUUUACAAGAAGGGUGUGAAUUCAGAAAACAUAAUGCAGUCAGAUCAUAGUACAGACGAUGAAGAAGAACAAGAAACAGUACAAGCAUCUGAAACAGAGGUUGCUGUGAGAUCAGAAAAUGUUUCAGAUAUUAGUGUUCCCUCUAUACCUACAAUUCAGACUUAUACCAGAAGGGAGAAAGUUCUUCAGCCAACAGAAUCUUCACGAGCUGUGGCUCUUUCAGAACAUUCCAUUGAUGCAAUUAAUGAGCAACAGGCAGUGGCAGAAGGUUCAUUAAGUGAUGAAAAUAUUUCAUCAUCUUCAGAUGAAGAGUAUCAGCCUAAUAUCUCUGAGAAGGAGGAUGUGGUGCAUAUUCCAGUAACAAGGGCAGCAUCAAAGAGAGGAAAUUCAAAAUAUGUUUUAUCGAUUACUCCUACUCAGAAAAUUGCACCAAAGUCUGUUAAGUUGGCAUUGACAGAUCCUGAAUGGAAGAAGGCAAUGCAACAAGAAUAUGAUGCCCUCAUGAAGAAUGAAACAUGGGAAUUGAUACCCAAAUCUGCCACAGACAAUGUCAUAAACAGCAUUUGGUUGUUUAAGGUCAAAGAAAAAUCUGAUGGGACAGUUGAAAGGCUAAAGGCUAGAUUGGUAGCCAAUGGAACCAAUCAAGUAGAGGGGCAAGAUUAUGGUGAAACAUUCAGUCCUGUGGUGAAGCCCAAAACUAUAAGAGUAGUCCUUACCAUUGCAGUUUCUAGAGGAUGGGAGAUGCAACAGAUUGAUAUUAGCAAUGCUUUUCUUCAUGGGCAGUUAGAAGAGAAGAUUGUUAUGAGGCAACCAGCUGGCUUCCUUGAUGAAUCAAAACCAAGGCAUGUAUGUCUUUUGAAAAAGGCACUCUAUGGCUUAAAGCAAGCAUCCAGGAUGUGGUUUAGACGGUUGAAACAGUCCUUGAAUAGAAUGGGAUUCAAAGCAUGCUUUUCUGAUGAAUCCUUAUUUGUGAGAAUUGAUGAUGAAGUCAUCUACAUUUUAGUCUAUGUUGAUGACAUGGUUAUUACUGGUUCAAGCUCAGAAAAGGUGGAGUGUCUGGAUACUCUAAAGUCUGAAUUCGCAGUAAGGUUGUGUGGAGAUCUCGAAUAUUUUCUAGGGAUAAGGGUAAGAAAACAUGUGGAUGGUGUGUUUUUAGACCAACAAUUAUAUUUGGUCAAUCUGUUGAACAAACACAAUUUUCAAAGCCUUAAACCUAUUUCUACUCCAAUGCAACAUGAUCAAUCUUUUUUCUCUGAUGCUGGAAGUAAUUGAAAAUGCAACUGAAUAUAGGAAGAUUGUUGGUUCCUUGCAGUAUUUGACAAUGUCAAGACCAGACAUUGCAUAUUCAGUCAACAAGCUGGCUCAGUUCAUGGAAAAACCUAAGAAGAUUCACUGGCAGAUGAUGAAAAGAGUUCUCAGAUAUCUGACUGGAACUCAGUUCAUGGGAGUUGUUCUUAGAAAAUCCAGUAAUUGCAACAUUUCAGCCUACAGUGAUGCUGAUUGGGCUUCAGAUGAGACAGACAGGAAGAGUCAGUCAACAGCUUGAUGUAUGCAAUGAUUUGUACCAAACCUGACAUCUCUCAUGCAGUGGGAGUUGUGAGCAGAUUUAUGUCAAAUCCAGGUGAAGAACAUUGGAAGGCUGUGAAGUGGAUUUUGAGAUACCUUCAAAAUACCACAACUGUUGGCAUAUGGUUCACCAAAAAUUCUGUAGUCUUGAAGGGAUAUUGUGACUCUGAUCUUGCAGGAGAUCCUGACACUAGUAAAAGUACCUGUGGAUAUAUAUUUUGCAUUGGGGGGGCUGCUGUAAGCUCGAGAUCAAGAUUGCAAGGACAGGUUACACUCUCUACAACUGAGGCAGAGUAUGUUGUUGUUGAAACUGCAAAAGAAAAGAUUUGGCUGGAAAAUUUGUUGAAAGAAUUAGGAUGUGGCCAGAUGGGAUCAAUGUUGUACAGUGAUAGCCAGAGUGCUAUCUACCUUGCAAGGAAUCCCAAGUUUUACUUAAAAUCCAAGCACAUUAGACAGAAAUAUCACUUCAUCAGAGAAUUGAUCGAGAAGGGAGAACUAGACUUGAGGAAGGUGUCUGGAGAAGAGAAUGCAUCAGACAUGCUGACUAAAGUGAUAACUGAUAAGCAUUGGGAAGCUAAGGCACUGCAUUGCCUUAGUGGGUCUUCUUGAUCAUGGCUAGACAAGAAGGAGGUGCAUUGGUGGUGUUAACAGUCUCCAAGUGGGAGAUUGUUGAGGUUUAAUGUAAUUGGGAGUUACAAGUAUGGAGACUGUUUUAUUGGUAUUUAAUUGGCCAAUUAAAUGGUCGGUUACAAAGCCAAUUAAUGAGUCAUUAUUUUGGGAAUGACCCAAAAUAAUCCAUAUAAAUAGCUACACUUAUAUUAAACUUGUGUAUAAGUUGUGUGAGUUGUAAUAGGGCUUAGACACCAUCAUUCUAGUGCACUAUCGUAGACGUACACCAUCAUUGGGUGGAACCACGUAAAAAUUCUUGUGUCCUUUUAUUUUUCCCUGCACUUUCUUUAUUCUGUUGAUCACUCUUAUUCUCAACAAGAAUCUCAACCUCAUUUUCGUAAGAAGAUUACUCUGAUCUUAGGAAGCGUUUAACAGAUUUUACAUCUGUCAAGGAGUGAUCAUUAGAUCACUGUCAAUGUUAAUGCUGAAAAGAGUUCAAUGACAUUAUCCAAGAUUUGUACACAAGACCAAACACUCCUAGGUAUCCUUGAUUUUCCUACCAAAACCCUCCCUUUCACAUACUUAAGACUCCCAAUAACAGGAAAAAAAAAAUUCUACAACCAAUGUUGGAAGGUGAUACAACCCAUAGAAAACAUGUUGGCCAAGUGGAGUGGGAAAUGCCUCUCCUAUGGAGGAAGAAUACAACUAGUAAAUUGGAUUCUUGCAGGAAAAUACACAUAUUGGGCCCAAGGCACAACCUUACCAGAAUCAGUCAUAAGGAAAAUAAGAAAGUUAGCCUGCAACUUUAUAUGGGAUGGAAGAAAAGGGAUACCAUGGAAACAAAUGAUCUUCCCCAAAGCAGAGGGAGGAUUGGGAGUAAGAAACCUAGAUAUCAUAGUUCCAGCCAUAAACAUUAAAAGGAUUGCAAAUUUCUGGACAAAAUCAGACUCAAUCCUGAAUACAUGGAUCCAAGGGAGAUACAUAAAGGGAAGGGUUCUUACAAACAUUCAGAUCAAAAACUCUAUCGACUCUCAUGCUUGGAAAUUUAUAAUAGGAGAUACCCCUAAGGUUCUCACACUAACAGAGUGUGGACCAAAUUACACAGUGCUCUGGAAAAGUGGAAACACAAAAAGAAACUUGCAAAAAUAGGUGAUGAAAUUAGAGACAAAAAUCAUAAAAACACUCUAGCUGAAGGAAUAUGGGCCAACAAACUCACAAAAUUCUCUAUACUUCUAUGGAGAAUAAAAUGGGGACACUUAAAUACCUUCACCAGGCUAAAUGGAUGGGGCAUGUACAUCCCACCCACCUGCCUAUUAUGCAACUUAGAAAAUGAAACCAGAGGACACCUUUUUUAUAACUGCAUCUACUCUAGAGCCAUCCUUCUACCCCUAGUUGAAAAAUUAAACAAUAUUAUCUGGAAAAUCAUGAACAUCCCCACACCCAUUACCACAUACCCAAACAUCAAAAUAGGAGACCUAAUUGAGGCAUGUCAAAAGCUAACACAUCAUUCUCAAAUUUGGGGCCUAUUAUGGAAUAUGAUUGGAGCUUUGAGUUGACACAUAUGGGCUAAAAGAAACAGAAGAUGACAGCAACAUUCUCUCAGACUACCAGAAACGGUUCUUAAGAAGGUUUUAAAUGACAUCAACAACUCCUUCAGGCCAAAGAGCUUCAAAAAGAGUUGUUGAUGUCGUUGAGACAGAAAAAGUUCAGAAGCAAGGGAAGGUGAAACUCAGUACCAUUCCAUGUCAGAUUUGCUCUGGAAAACAUGGUGCACUGAACUGCUACAAUAGGCUGAAUAUCACAAAGUAUCCACCAACACACAAUAGAGUACUAUCACCUAACGGGCCUACUAGCAAAAUGUCCGUUAACACUGCAUAUAAAGCUUCUGGAUCUAUUUGGUAUCCUGAAACAGGUACUGUUGAUGAGCCUACUGUGAAUAUGGUAGCAAUGCAGGAAGAAACACAUCUUUGGUAUGCAGAUUCAGG